UACGGAGGGUGCAAGCGUUAUCCGGAUUCACUGGGUUUAAAGGGUGCGUAGGUGGAUUUAUAAGUCAGUGGUGACAGCCCCGAGCUCAACUUGGGAAUUGCCAUUGAUACUGUAGAUCUUGAGUGCGGUUGAGGUAGGCGGAAUGUUACAUGUAGCGGUGAAAUGCUUAGAUAUGUAACAGAACACCAAUUGCGAAGGCAGCUUACCAAGCCGAUACUGACACUGAUGCACGAAAGCGUGGGGAUCAAACAGG
This 253-nucleotide ribosomal RNA is filed under the name uncultured bacterium. RNAcentral describes it as "partial 16S ribosomal RNA". It matches the Rfam family "Bacterial small subunit ribosomal RNA", at positions 524 to 776 of the family's 1533-position model. The record is from RNAcentral.